This 497-nucleotide ribosomal RNA is filed under the name uncultured bacterium. Its description in RNAcentral is "partial 16S ribosomal RNA". It matches the Rfam family "Bacterial small subunit ribosomal RNA", at positions 29 to 507 of the family's 1533-position model. The record is from RNAcentral.
UACUAACUCUGGCGGCGUGCCUAAUACAUGCAAGUAGAACGCUGAAGAGAGGAGCUUGCUCUUCUUGGAUGAGUUGCGAACGGGUGAGUAACGCGUAGGUAACCUGCCUUGUAGCGGGGGAUAACUAUUGGAAACGAUAGCUAAUACCGCAUAACAAUGGAUGACACAUGUCAUUUAUUUGAAAGGGGCAAUUGCUCCACUACAAGAUGGACCUGCGUUGUAUUAGCUAGUAGGUGAGGUAAUGGCUCACCUAGGCGACGAUACAUAGCCGACCUGAGAGGGUGAUCGGCCACACUGGGACUGAGACACGGCCCAGACUCCUACGGGAGGCAGCAGUAGGGAAUCUUCGGCAAUGGGGGCAACCCUGACCGAGCAACGCCGCGUGAGUGAAGAAGGUUUUCGGAUCGUAAAGCUCUGCUGUAAGUCAAGAACGGGUGUGAGAGUGGAAAGUUCACACUGUGACGGUAGCUUACCAGAAAGGGACGGCUAACUACGUG